This 500-nucleotide long non-coding RNA is filed under the name Canis lupus familiaris (dog). Its description in RNAcentral is "lncRNA (ENSCAFG00845024282.1)". Lineage: Eukaryota; Metazoa; Chordata; Mammalia; Carnivora; Canidae. The record is from RNAcentral.
GCCUUGCAGCCCUGGGCUGGACCCCAGACCUCAGCCUGGAAUGCUGGUGCUUCUGCAAGAGCUGGUAUUAUCGUCCAGCAUGAUCGUCAUCUUCAGACCUGGGAAGACGCGAGCCGUCACGGACCAGGUGCCGGGCCUGCUGUCGCACAGGUAGUGGUUGUGCAAAACUGGCUUAGCCCUGUUUCCCUUUGCGUCGCUCUCCACCGCCUCGGACCUCGGUGGACCACCUCUCGAGCUUUGCUUGGGGCCCAGCUCAUUUCCCCCAUUCCAGUCCUGUUCCCUUGUAGGCGGAGGGACAGUGGGGACAGGCCAGUGAGGCCCUUGGCAAGUUCUCUUUGUCUCCCCGCCCUCUGUCAUAACAUCCUCCCAUCCAACCUCCUGCCCCACAGCUUGCAGACUCCCGUUUGACUAGUGCUCUUGAAUCAAACCCCUUCCUCUGUUCAGAUGAAAAUAACCCGGUUAGAACCUGCUUAAAGAUUCUACGGAAGGGAGAGGGGUGG